GACGAACGCUGGCGGCGUGCUUAACACAUGCAAGUCGAACGGUGAAGCUCCAGCUUGCUGGAGUGGAUCAGUGGCGAACGGGUGAGUAACACGUGAGCAACCUGCCCCUGACUCUGGGAUAAGCGCUGCAAACGGCGUCUAAUACUGGAUACGAGAAGGGUCCGCAUGGGCACUUUCUGGAAAGUUUGUCGGUUGGGGAUGGGCUCGCGGCCUAUCAGCUUGUUGGUGAGGUAAUGGCUCACCAAGGCGACGACGGGUAGCCGGCCUGAGAGGGCGACCGGCCACACUGGGACUGAGACACGGCCCAGACUCCUACGGGAGGCAGCAGUGGGGAAUAUUGCACAAUGGGCGAAAGCCUGAUGCAGCGACGCCGCGUGAGGGAUGACGGCCUUCGGGUUGUAAACCUCUUUCAGCAGGGAAGAAGCGAAAGUGACGGUACCUGCAGAAGAAGCACCGGCUAACUACGUG
This 468-nucleotide ribosomal RNA is filed under the name uncultured bacterium. Its description in RNAcentral is "partial 16S ribosomal RNA". It matches the Rfam family "Bacterial small subunit ribosomal RNA", at positions 28 to 507 of the family's 1533-position model. The record is from RNAcentral.